This 728-nucleotide ribosomal RNA is filed under the name uncultured marine bacterium. RNAcentral describes it as "bacterial SSU rRNA". It matches the Rfam family "Bacterial small subunit ribosomal RNA", at positions 59 to 837 of the family's 1533-position model. The record is from RNAcentral.
AAGUCGAGCGGUCCUUCGGGACAGCGGCGAACGGGUUAGUAACGCGUGGGAACGUGCCCUUUAGUACGGAAUAGCCAUUGGAAACGAUGAUUAAUACCGUAUACGCCCCAAGGGGGAAAGAUUUAUCGCUAAAGGAUCGGCCCGCGUUAGAUUAGGUAGUUGGUAGGGUAAUGGCCUACCAAGCCGACGAUCUAUAGCUGGUUUGAGAGGAUGAUCAGCAACACUGGGACUGAGACACGGCCCAGACUUCUACGGAAGGCAGCAGUAGGGAAUCUUGGACAAUGGGCGAAAGCCUGAUCCAGCCAUGCCGCGUGAGUGAUGAAGGCCCUAGGGUUGUAAAGCUCUUUCGCCAGGGAAGAUAAUGACGGUACCUGGUAAAGAAACCCCGGCUAACUCCGUGCCAGCAGCCGCGGUAAUACGGAGGGGGUUAGCGUUGUUCGGAAUUACUGGGCGUAAAGCGCACGUAGGCGGAUUAAUAAGUCAGGGGUGAAAUCCCGAGGCUCAACCUCGGAACUGCCUUUGAUACUGUUAAUCUUGAGUUCGAGAGAGGUAAGUGGAAUUCCGAGUGUAGAGGUGAAAUUCGUAGAUAUUCGGAGGAACACCAGUGGCGAAGGCGGCUCACUGGCUCGAUACUGACGCUGAGUGCGAAAGCGUGGGGAGCAAACAGGAUUAGAUACCCUGGUAGUCCACGCCGUAAACGAUGAGAGCUAGUCGUUGGGGAGUUCGCU